UUCAAAGUGGAUAAAUGAUUAUGACAAUAUCUGCUUAUGUCUUGACCAAGUCACGUGCCAGCAGUCGCGGUAAUACGUGGAAGAUUAGUGUUAUUCAUCUUUAAUAGGUUUAAAGGGUACCUAGACGGUUAAUUAAGCAUUUAUAUGUACUAAUUAACUAGAGUUUAAUAUAAGAAGGAUUGAGUACGGUGAGUGUAGAGAUAAAAUUCUGUCAUACCACUUAGGAACUGGUAAUGGCGAAGGCAACCUUCAAUGUAAAAACUGACGUUAAGGGACGAAGGCUCGUUUCAAAUAACAGGAUUAGAUACCCUAGUAUUGUGGGCAGACAAUGAUGAGUGUCAUAUACAAGAAUAUAAAAAAUAUUUUGUGUAUAAAUGAAAGUGUAAGCACUCCACCUCAAGAGUAACGUGGCAACAUGGGAACUGAAAUCAUUAGACCGUUUCUGAAACUCGUAGUGAAGUAUGUUGUUUAAUUUGAUAGUCCUCAAAUAACCUUACCACAAUUUGUAUUACCAUAAUUUUAUUAUACUAAUAUGUUUAGUAGUUAUGGCAACAAGCGUUGCACGGCUGUCUUCAGUCAAUGUUGUGAAACUGUGGUUAGAUCCAUUAAAUUGACGUAAACCCUUACUUUAUUUAAAAUAAAGUAGUUCGCCGCUAUAUUGGUAGUGAUAUAAGGGACUAGGACAAGUCAUCA
RNAcentral lists this ribosomal RNA (693 nucleotides) under Heiomasia sipmanii. RNAcentral's name for it is "SSU rRNA". It matches the Rfam family "Bacterial small subunit ribosomal RNA", at positions 453 to 1195 of the family's 1533-position model. Lineage: Eukaryota; Fungi; Ascomycota; Lecanoromycetes; Ostropales; Graphidaceae. The record is from RNAcentral.